This is a long non-coding RNA of Xenopus tropicalis (tropical clawed frog), 468 nucleotides long. RefSeq lists it as uncharacterized. The record is from RefSeq and is a predicted model, not a curated record. The transcript has 2 exons. Lineage: Eukaryota; Metazoa; Chordata; Amphibia; Anura; Pipidae.
UUUUUUUUUUUUUUCUUUUAACUAAACAUUAACUGAAUGAAGACAGUUAGUCCCUCUUCUUCUGCUUGGGGGGCUUUAGUGAAACAAAUGGACUUCAGAAUACAGAUUGUCAAUAAAGGUGUAUUUUAGGAUUACUCACUUCCUUCCUUUGUUCUUAUGCUGGAUGAAGAUGAAAGUUUUUAACACAGAAAGCUUACAACGAAAGCUUUAUCAAGAAGAUACUGGAGAAAAUACAUUAACGCAAACUACUAGAAUUAAUGAAAUUAAUAAACGCUAGCUGUGGGCAGUAAAAGCAUCAUCACUAAAACAAACAACUUGAAUGUGUUGCAAUUUCAUUUAAACUAGUGAAACCACAGGGGCAGUAGAGAAUUAGCAAAGCAUAAUGCAAAAUGAUAGUUGUAAAUGGAAUGUGCAAAUAUAUAAUCCAGUUGGUUUUUUGCAGCAGCAAAAUAAAAUAUUGUCAGCUUA